CCAAAGGCUCUUUUAAGAGCCACUCAAGUUUUCACAAUGAGAGCUG
Molecule: non-coding RNA, 46 nt
Organism: Equus caballus (horse)
Lineage: Eukaryota; Metazoa; Chordata; Mammalia; Perissodactyla; Equidae
Source: Rfam